Molecule: long non-coding RNA, 1942 nt
Filed under: Lathyrus oleraceus (garden pea)
Lineage: Eukaryota; Viridiplantae; Streptophyta; Magnoliopsida; Fabales; Fabaceae
Description: Pisum sativum (pea) long non-coding RNA (PSAT_LNC001049)
Source: RNAcentral
AUUUUUCCAAAAUUUUCUCUCUCUUUCAUGCCUCUCUCUCUCUCUCUCUCUCUCUCUCUCUCUCUCUCUCUCUCUCUCUCUCUCAUGAGAGAGAGAGAGAAUUCAUUUUUCCAAAAUUUUCUCUCUCUUUCAUGCCUCUCUCUCUCUCUCUCUCUCUCUCUCUCUCUCUCUCUCUCUCUCUCUCUCAAGAACAAACCACCGACCCACCCUGAGAACCACCACCAUUCACCCUGAGAACCUCACUCAAACCCAGUUUUUGGUUGAGCUUCAAUUGGAAACUUCAACAAAAACCUAAAAUUUUCCAAAAACUGGUCAAACCACAUCCAAUCCAAAAUCUUCCAACAUGAACCCCCCCUCUAAAUCUUCUUCUAAACAUGAACCCUAAACUAAAAUCCUCAAAAGCUUAACAAAAUCAACAGAUCAAAACUUCUUAAACUCUGAAGCCCUAAGUUCCUAACACCUAAAAUCCAACCAAAUUUGAUCCAAUCUCUCAUCUAAACAUUAAUUCAACACCAAAACCAACAAGAUCAAACAUCAAUAGUAAGAAAUUAAACAAAGUAGACGAAUUAAAGCAAAAAAACACUCAAUAUGGUUCGAAAGUAACAACAACAAGCAUAACGUCUAUAACAAAUAAGGAAAGCAAACAAAAAAUGUAAACAUGAAGGGAUCAAGAGGUUUACCAAAUGGAUGUUAUCGAUGUGAAGUCCACACAUGUAAGUUCCUUUUUCUUUUCUCCGCUUCAUUUCAUUACUGAUCGUGUCCACCCAUUCUACCCCUUCUAUCUAUGUAUAUGCCUACCUACUUCUGUUUGUGUUUAUUACUCUAUUGUUGUUGUGUUGUUUGUUGUCAACGGUUUGGUGGUGGUUUAUCUCACCUUAAUAAGAUUUUAAUGCGAGGCUCUUAUAAGGUUUAGGUAUGAAAUUUUAGUGAGACUAGGAGGUUUCGGAAUUUAAAAAAUUGUUGUGCUUUGAGUAGCUGGGGUUGUUAGGGUUUUUAUGUUAUCAGUGUGAACUUUCUUGUGUCUUAAUAGGAUUUCAGAAGUUUUUGGUGUAUGUAAAUGAGUGAGAAUGAUAUUCAUUUUAUAGCAGUGAGGGAGUGAGAAAUUGGUAUGUGGGAGUGACGAAUAUGAGGAAGAUAGUUCUUCCUCAAGCAUGCGAAUUGAGAGUCGAUAGGAUCAAACAUAAUUAUUUGUGAUGAGUUAUGAAAAUGGUGUGUGUAAAAUAUCCCACAAAGUGUGGGAUUUUGGUGAGUGGGAGAGAUAUUUCGUGAGACCAUGUGCUCGAGCUUUGUGAACUUUCGAAUUUGUCUUUAUUGGAUUUUAAUUUUACCACUGUAAGUUGUUGUGGUAAAAAUGAAUGGUGUUUUUCUUUUUUUACAAUUCUUUAUACUCUUUACUGCAGUGAAACAAAUUGGUAUGUUAUGGUUUUCCUUUCGAUCAUGUCAUGGCCUUCAAUAUUAUGUGUAUUCUUAGGUUUGUUGCAUUACUUGUUAUAUUUGGCCUUAUUUUUUUUAUUAAUUGAAUUUCUAUCUUGUGGUAGGCCUUUUGAUGGAUGCAAUAGUGAACUCAAUUAUGCUCGGAAGGGGUCGGUUUUGGAAAGGAACCAAAUGAUGAACCAAAUGUGGAAUGUCAUGGAAAGCUUUGUGAUGAAUAAAUAUGAUGGACAUGGAGCAACUUGAAGACUUAACAAUAGUCUUAGGAGUUAGGUCUCUUGGUUUAGGUUUAUUCUUAGAUUUUGGCUUAUGUAGUAUUUCAAAUGUAAAGCAACAAGUGACUUGAGAUUCAACUAAACAAACUUCUAUUUCUUUAUUUUUCAUUGAUGCAAAAAUGUAUUUUUUGUUUAUGCUUAGGGAACUACAAAUACCAAAGUUCAAAGUAAUGCACAAUUUUUCAAUUUGUGAAUCUCUUUCUUUUUGUAAAUUUUCCAAUGAUAACAUUUGAACA